GCCACCGGGACCACAUCCGGCGGUGUAGGAGGCGGCGGGGACAGCCCCUCCAGGCGGAUCCGACCCGAUCCGAUGCCCUGGACGCGGUCGACCAGCUCGACGCCGACGGGGGUACGGAAGACCGGGCGAUGGUACAGGAAGAUCGCGUUGGGAAGGAGCGACGGCGAGGCGUCGGAGGAAGAGGAGCGGAGAGGUGGAGCUAGGGACUGGGUGUAGGAGGAGGCCUUGGCGGUGUUAAGGAAACGGUGGGGAAGGGCUCUGCGCAAGGCCAU
This 272-nucleotide long non-coding RNA is filed under the name Musa acuminata (dwarf banana). RNAcentral describes it as "long non-coding RNA (MACU_LNC001549)". The record is from RNAcentral. Lineage: Eukaryota; Viridiplantae; Streptophyta; Magnoliopsida; Zingiberales; Musaceae.